ACAGCUGUGCAGGAGAAUGUUUUGAUAUUUGACUUCUGUUCUUCCAAGUAGAGUGGAGGAAAUGGAUUCAAACCAAUUCACUUGGAGAACGUAAGCCAAGCACAACCACAGGAUCAAACGUAGAAAUGGAGUGCAAGUUCGUCUACUGUUGGUCACCAUUUUUGAGGAAGCAGAUAUGGAUGGAUCU
Molecule: long non-coding RNA, 187 nt
Filed under: Anser brachyrhynchus (Pink-footed goose)
Lineage: Eukaryota; Metazoa; Chordata; Aves; Anseriformes; Anatidae
Description: lncRNA (ENSABRG00000020243.1)
Source: RNAcentral